This 467-nucleotide ribosomal RNA is filed under the name uncultured bacterium. Its description in RNAcentral is "partial 16S ribosomal RNA". It matches the Rfam family "Bacterial small subunit ribosomal RNA", at positions 28 to 506 of the family's 1533-position model. The record is from RNAcentral.
GACGAACGCUGGCGGCGUGCUUAACAUAUGCAAGUCGAACGGAAAGGCCCUGCUUUUGUGGGGUGCUCGAGUGGCGAACGGGUGAGUAACACGUGAGUAACCUGCCCUUGACUUUGGGAUAACUUCAGGAAACUGGGGCUAAUACCGGAUAGGAGCUCCUGCUGCAUGGUGGGGGUUGGAAAGUUUCGGCGGUUGGGGAUGGACUCGCGGCUUAUCAGCUUGUUGGUGGGGUAGUGGCUUACCAAGGCUUUGACGGGUAGCCGGCCUGAGAGGGUGACCGGCCACAUUGGGACUGAGAUACGGCCCAGACUCCUACGGGAGGCAGCAGUGGGGAAUAUUGCACAAUGGGCGGAAGCCGGAUGCAGCAACGCCGCGUGCGGGAUGACGGCCUUCGGGUGGUAAACCGCUUUCGCCUGUGACGAAGCGUGAGUGACGGUAAUGGGUAAAGAAGCACCGGCUAACUACGU